CAGAAAAUAGAUCACAGACUUGAAUCAUCUAUCUCUGUAGUCACACAACCGUGUCAACCAUAAAACCAAUAGUUUAUGGUUGGCCGUAAAUCCAGAAAUAAACAUUUUAUAAGGCAGGUCAUCUUCCAAAGCGAGCCUCGCAUGGUUGCGAAGUGACUGGAUGUAAAAGGAUUUCCUCAGCUUUUAAACAAAUCACUGGAAUUACUGCACUGGGAAUAUAGUCCAAAGCUGAUUGGCUGACACGAUUUUAUUGUGAAGCUAUUCUUCGUUUUGAUUGGUUUAGAUGAAUGUCAAUUGUUCUGAGAUUUACGCCUCAUUCCGUGAUGUGACGUUGUCCAGGAACAUGGCUCUGUGGAGGAAAGGUGUUUCGUGAUAUUUAGUAGCGUAUGGUAGAUUUUUUUUUGUUUGUAAAUAUGUUAAUUUAAAAACGCUUUACCAGAAAACAUGGUAGGUUGCGAGAGGUGAUCGCUCUGGUUGUUUCCAUGGAGAACGGAACACUACAUGUCGUAGCGGUGUUUGCUGUCGUCAGCUGAAACUGUUAGCCUCAACAUGCUAGCUGUAGCUAGCUUUGCUGGCGAGUAGCAAGUCGCUAAAAAGACCGAAACUAUGCACGUUUGUAGCUUAGGCUGACAUAAAACUGCUUAAAGGCACUUUAUUGAACCUCACGUUAGCCAGUUAUCCGGCACAGUUUCAGUUAGUCAUCAUAUUUGUUGGGCAAAUCUGGAGGAUGGAGAGCCGUCUUGGAUCUGUGUUGCUGGCAAGUGGAAUUUUUUGGUCGGCGUUUUUGGUGACUGAAGCUAUCCCUCUUCAGUAUCCUCUGAAUUCAGAUGGAGACUCGGGGGGUGUCUGGUCUGCGUCUCCCCACCUGCCCUUGGUGGUGUCGCUGCUGGUGCUUUUGGCUGUGGUCGUGCUGCUCAUGAACUGCGUAACCUGCUGCAAAGAAAGAGAGAUCAACUUCAAGGUGAGAGAAACGCUGCCCAGGUUCAGGUAAAAGGUUAAUGCGACCCUGUGACCUCAGAGAGUGUAGUUUCUGUCAAAGAUAACCUUCCACACCACU
This 1057-nucleotide long non-coding RNA is filed under the name Oryzias javanicus (javanese ricefish). RNAcentral's name for it is "lncRNA (ENSOJAG00000007915.1)". Lineage: Eukaryota; Metazoa; Chordata; Actinopteri; Beloniformes; Adrianichthyidae. The record is from RNAcentral.